GAUGAACGCUGGCGGCGUGCUUAACACAUGCAAGUCGAACGAAGCACUUUAUUUGAUUUCUUCGGAAUGAAGAUUUUGUGACUGAGUGGCGGACGGGUGAGUAACGCGUGGGUAACCUGCCUCAUACAGGGGGAUAACAGUUGGAAACGACUGCUAAUACCGCAUAAGCGCACAGGGUCGCAUGACCUGGUGUGAAAAACUCCGGUGGUAUGAGAUGGACCCGCGUCUGAUUAGCCAGUUGGUGGGGUAACGGCCUACCAAAGCGACGAUCAGUAGCCGACCUGAGAGGGUGACCGGCCACAUUGGGACUGAGACACGGCCCAAACUCCUACGGGAGGCAGCAGUGGGGAAUAUUGCACAAUGGGGGAAACCCUGAUGCAGCGACGCCGCGUGAGCGAAGAAGUAUUUCGGUAUGUAAAGCUCUAUCAGCAGGGAAGAAGAAAUGACGGUACCUGACUAAGAAGCACCGGCUAA
RNAcentral lists this ribosomal RNA (474 nucleotides) under uncultured bacterium. Its description in RNAcentral is "bacterial SSU rRNA". It matches the Rfam family "Bacterial small subunit ribosomal RNA", at positions 28 to 500 of the family's 1533-position model. The record is from RNAcentral.